RNAcentral lists this small RNA (78 nucleotides) under Flavobacterium sp. 1. RNAcentral's name for it is "Flavo-1 RNA". It matches the Rfam family "Flavo-1 RNA". The record is from RNAcentral. Lineage: Bacteria; Pseudomonadati; Bacteroidota; Flavobacteriia; Flavobacteriales; Flavobacteriaceae.
CUUUAGCACCGAUAGAAGUGGAAAUCCUUGUGAGCCGGGGCUCGGCUCACAAGAUUGUAGCGGAAAGCGGGACACAUG